Molecule: ribosomal RNA, 301 nt
Filed under: uncultured bacterium
Lineage: Bacteria
Description: partial 16S ribosomal RNA
Rfam family: Bacterial small subunit ribosomal RNA
Source: RNAcentral
CAGUCGCCGCGGUAAUACGUAGGGUGCAAGCGUUAAUCGGAAUUACUGGGCGUAAAGCGUGCGCAGGCGGCUUGUUAAGACAGAUGUGAAAUCCCCGGGCUUAACCUGGGAACUGCAUUUGUGACUGGCGAGCUAGAGUAUGGCAGAGGGGGGUAGAAUUCCACGUGUAGCAGUGAAAUGCGUAGAGAUGUGGAGGAAUACCGAUGGCGAAGGCAGCCCCCUGGGCCAAUACUGACACUGAGAGACGAAAGCUAGGGGAGCAAAUGGGAUUAGAUACCCCGGUAGUCCCUGUCUCUUAUAC